This 253-nucleotide ribosomal RNA is filed under the name uncultured bacterium. RNAcentral's name for it is "partial 16S ribosomal RNA". It matches the Rfam family "Bacterial small subunit ribosomal RNA", at positions 524 to 776 of the family's 1533-position model. The record is from RNAcentral.
UACGUAGGGUCCGAGCGUUGUCCGGAAUUACUGGGCGUAAAGAGCUCGUAGGUGGUUUGUCGCGUUGUUCGUGAAAACUCACAGCUCAACUGUGGGCGUGCGGGCGAUACGGGCAGACUGGAGUACUGCAGGGGAGACUGGAAUUCCUGGUGUAGCAGUGAAAUGCGUAGAUAUCAGGAGGAACACCGAUGGCGAAGGCAGGUCUCUGGGCUGACACUGACGCUCAUGCACGAAAGCGUGGGGAGCAAACAGG